UGUUAUUCAUUGUGAUGGUUCUUUGAAAGAGCACCAGUGUGACGGUACCAUAGACUUCAACCAAACUAAGGCAUACGAUGCGAAAGGCGAUAAAGACAUGACUCAAUAUCUUUGUAAUCACUGCUGUCAGCUGAGCUUUGUUUGAUGGUGGUUCAGGUAAACAGCAGAAGAAGAGGAGAAAAGAUAGUCCUCGUUCCACCACAGAGCAAAAAAAAAGAGGAAGAUAAUGACGAGGUGAUGAUGAGGUUUCUCUCUGUGCUCGUAGUUUCCUCCUCAGGCUGCACACAGCUGAAAUCUUCUGUUUCCUGUGCACUCUUAAAGUACUGGUUUUCUCCUCAGGGGUUUUAAGGUAAUAAAUAAGUCAGCUGCUGUCACGCUCUCAUGGAUUGGUUAAUGUUAGCAGUAACUUUGUGUUUUUCAUGCUCUCAUGUCUGAACCCGUCAUGUGCAGGUGAUCUACACCGUGCUGAGACACAACAGGACUCGUGUGCAGUGGUAGAUCCUCUUGCGGCAUGCCAUCCACCUGGACGAUGUGGCCAAGAAGGAGAACAGCUCCACCCACCAAUUCGUCCACAGCUUCCCGUUGUCAGAGCCAGCCGGCUGGCUCAGCAGAUACAUCUACAUCCCGACUGUAGAGUAGUACUAGGAGUGCCUCCUGAAGCCCUGGUUUUACCGCCUCCUCUCCGUCGUCCUCACUCUGUUCAGCGUGGCUGUGGUUUGGUCCAAGUGCACCUUCUUCAGCCCGUCCUCUCGCUGAUUGUCAUCCAGUUGGCUGAGAGAGGCUACAACUACCAGUACAUCGAGGCUGUCCUGUCGUCUCACUCCUCCCCUGUUUGAUCCACAUGGACUCGGCCAUCUCCCACCACAACAAGCUGCAGACUGCUCACACCUCUCAGGACAACAACCCCAAACACACAGCCAAAGUCAUUAGGAACUAUCUUCAGUGUAAAGAAGAACAAGAAGUACUGGAAGUGAUGGUACGGCCCCCACAGAGCUCUGAUCUUAACAUCAUCGAAUGUGUCUGGGAUUACAUGAAGAGACAGAAGGGGUUGAGGAAGCCUGUAUCCACAGAAAAUCUGUGGUUAGUUCUCCAAGAUCUUUGGAACAACCGACCAGCUGAGUUCCUUCAAAAUGUGACGUGAUUUAGAUUUCUCUUUUGUUCAUUCACUGCAUUUUGUUGAUUGAUGAAACCUUUGCACAGUACUGUAUGUAAUUAUGUUUGUGAUUCUGUGUUGUAAUCAAUGUUCUUUUCAGUUUAAGGACCCGCUGCCUUAAUCUUCUGGGCUUCCAGCAGUUUAUGGAAGACAGUGAAAUGACCUCUGACCUGAUGGACGAGGAAAGGAGCUGAACCGCCAGGGUGAGACUGUCACCAUCAUCUGAAUUCUGUUUAACAAGAAAGUUAUAAUAAAAUAUAAUAUUUGUACAGAGAAAAGGAAGAGGCGGAGGGUGAAUACCUCUUUGUUUCUUCUGUUUAGAUUUCAGAGAAAACUAAUCAGUGUAUGAUAUAACAAUAGAAGUCACUCACACACAUCAAAGUCCUUUUACAUAUCUUAUUUUAAUAACAUAAAAUAUAUAUUUUCAUUGUUUAUUAAGUGCACAGACUGCAGUUUACAGCAGGUUUCCUCAGAUAUAAUAUAUGAUUCCAAAAUAAGAAAGUCAUCUGCUGGGAGAAGAAACAACAGUGAAACAGGAAGUACAAAGAAGCUGCUCAUCACUGGAUAUUCUGCCUAAGAUUGAAGAUUGAACAUCUGCCUCCCAGCAGGUCAGUAAAACCGAAACAGCUCUUCAGAAUCGGCGACAACAUCUCCAGCACCAUCAGACUGAGAACAGGAGCUCCUCAAGGCAGUGUUCUCAUCCCACUGUUGUUCGCUGUCCUGACACUGCACUGCUCUACACAGCUCCAACCACAUCAUCAGGUUCGCUCAUCAGCAACAACGACGAGUCGGCGUACAGAGAUGAGGUUCAGCAGCUGGCGUUCUGGUGCAGCGAGAACAACCUGUCCCUGAACCUGUCCCUGCUACAGGACAUCUUCACCAAGCUCUGCAUCAGCAAGGCCUCCUGCAUCAUGCUUGACCCCUCACACGCACUCUUUUCUCUCCUCCCAUCUGGCCGACGCUAUCGCAGCAUCGGGGCCCAAUCCUCCAGGCUGCGAAAUAGCUUUUUCCCACAAGCCAUCAGACUCUUGAACUCACUACCGGCUCUCCCACUCCCCCCCACCACACACACCCACACAAACCGUUACCUAACUCUAUUGCACUCCACAUACCACUGCCUUUGUAAUGCAGAUGCUGCUCUAUGGAGGAGAAAAGACAGACAGCUAAAUCCACCGGCCCGAUGACAAAUUCUCACGUCUCGGGACUUUACUACAGGAACUUCCUGGCUGACGUCAGUCUUUCAGCGUGUCUCUUCUCCCCUCGGUGAAUGUCGACUCCAGGGCUCCGGCUCAGAGGACCAAUUAAUGAUAGGUUCGUAGCUUAAACCUAUUCGCUGGAACGUUCAAGACAAUUCAACUACACAGCAAAAGCAUUGAACACCAAGUAGGCAAAGUUCUUUGUGUCACUCAUAUAUGAGGGAGAGAACCACGACAAGCGCCGUUCCUUCGCUUGACCCCAGUCGCUCUCGUCCAC
Oreochromis aureus is the source of this 2626-nucleotide long non-coding RNA. RefSeq lists it as uncharacterized. NCBI's taxonomy places the organism in Eukaryota, Metazoa, Chordata, Actinopteri, Cichliformes, Cichlidae. The transcript has 4 exons. The record is from RefSeq and is a predicted model, not a curated record.